GACGAACGCUGGCGGCGUGCCUAAUACAUGCAAGUCGAACGCACUCUCGUUUAGAUUGAAGGAGCUUGCUCCUGAUUGAUAAACAUUUGAGUGAGUGGCGGACGGGUGAGUAACACGUGGGUAACCUGCCCUAAAGUGGGGGAUAACAUUUGGAAACAGAUGCUAAUACCGCAUAAAACCUAACACCGCAUGGUGUAGGGUUGAAAGAUGGUUUCGGCUAUCACUUUAGGAUGGACCCGCGGUGCAUUAGUUAGUUGGUGAGGUAAAGGCUCACCAAGACCGUGAUGCAUAGCCGACCUGAGAGGGUAAUCGGCCACACUGGGACUGAGACACGGCCCAGACUCCUACGGGAGGCAGCAGUAGGGAAUCUUCCACAAUGGACGAAAGUCUGAUGGAGCAAACGCCGCGUGAGUGAAGAAGGUUUUCGGAUCGUAAAACUCUGUUGUUGGAGAAGAAUGUAUCUGAUAGUAACUGAUCAGGUAGUGACGGUAUCCGAACCAGAAAGCCACGG
This 511-nucleotide ribosomal RNA is filed under the name uncultured bacterium. RNAcentral's name for it is "bacterial SSU rRNA". It matches the Rfam family "Bacterial small subunit ribosomal RNA", at positions 28 to 496 of the family's 1533-position model. The record is from RNAcentral.